Long non-coding RNA from Anneissia japonica, 264 nucleotides. RefSeq lists it as uncharacterized. NCBI's taxonomy places the organism in Eukaryota, Metazoa, Echinodermata, Crinoidea, Comatulida, Comatulidae. The transcript is spliced from 3 exons. The record is from RefSeq and is a predicted model, not a curated record.
UAUUUUUACAGAUCUCAACCAUUAAUAAUUCCACCGAGUUCGGCAGAGAAGCAAGCAUCAGACAUCAUAAAUGAACUCAAUGCAUUGAAGACAGAGAUGAAAGCAGCAAUACAGGAUGCUAAGAACAUCGAGUUGAUUGGACGUCAGAGGUCACAUGUCAUCCCUGCCAAAUCCUCUACUGACUCCACUCAUCAGGAAGCUCGUAGGGCGUAUGAUAGAUGGCAGAGGGCGCUAGAUGAACCAGCACCUUUGGAUAGAUACUUG